This 1168-nucleotide ribosomal RNA is filed under the name Vibrio sp. RNAcentral describes it as "bacterial SSU rRNA". It matches the Rfam family "Bacterial small subunit ribosomal RNA", at positions 358 to 1509 of the family's 1533-position model. The record is from RNAcentral. Lineage: Bacteria; Pseudomonadati; Pseudomonadota; Gammaproteobacteria; Vibrionales; Vibrionaceae.
GCAGUGCUGCAUGGGCGCAGCCUGAUGCAGCCAUGCCGCGUGUAUGAAGAAGGCCUUCGGGUUGUAAAGUACUUUCAGCAGUGAGGAAGGGGGUGUCGUUAAUAGCGGCAUCUCUUGACGUUAGCUGCAGAAGAAGCACCGGCUAACUCCGUGCCAGCAGCCGCGGUAAUACGGAGGGUGCGAGCGUUAAUCGGAAUUACUGGGCGUAAAGCGCAUGCAGGUGGUUUGUUAAGUCAGAUGUGAAAGCCCGGGGCUCAACCUCGGAACUGCAUUUGAAACUGGCAAACUAGAGUACUGUAGAGGGGGGUAGAAUUUCAGGUGUAGCGGUGAAAUGCGUAGAGAUCUGAAGGAAUACCAGUGGCGAAGGCGGCCCCCUGGACAGAUACUGACACUCAGAUGCGAAAGCGUGGGGAGCAAACAGGAUUAGAUACCCUGGUAGUCCACGCCGUAAACGAUGUCUACUUGGAGGUUGUGGCCUUGAGCCGUGGCUUUCGGAGCUAACGCGUUAAGUAGACCGCCUGGGGAGUACGGUCGCAAGAUUAAAACUCAAAUGAAUUGACGGGGGCCCGCACAAGCGGUGGAGCAUGUGGUUUAAUUCGAUGCAACGCGAAGAACCUUACCUACUCUUGACAUCCAGAGAACUUUCCAGAGAUGGAUUGGUGCCUUCGGGAACUCUGAGACAGGUGCUGCAUGGCUGUCGUCAGCUCGUGUUGUGAAAUGUUGGGUUAAGUCCCGCAACGAGCGCAACCCUUAUCCUUGUUUGCCAGCGAGUAAUGUCGGGAACUCCAGGGAGACUGCCGGUGAUAAACCGGAGGAAGGUGGGGACGACGUCAAGUCAUCAUGGCCCUUACGAGUAGGGCUACACACGUGCUACAAUGGCGCAUACAGAGGGCAGCCAACUCGCGAGAGUGAGCGAAUCCCAAAAAGUGCGUCGUAGUCCGGAUUGGAGUCUGCAACUCGACUCCAUGAAGUCGGAAUCGCUAGUAAUCGUAGAUCAGAAUGCUACGGUGAAUACGUUCCCGGGGCCUUGUACACACCGGCCCGUCACACCAUGGGGAGGUGGGGCUGCAAAAGGAGUGGGUAGGUUAACCUUUCGGGAGGACGCCUCACCCACUUUGGUGGUUUCAUGACUGGGGGGUGGAAGUCGUACCACACAGAGGGUACACAA